This 286-nucleotide unclassified non-coding RNA is filed under the name Hevea brasiliensis (rubber tree). Lineage: Eukaryota; Viridiplantae; Streptophyta; Magnoliopsida; Malpighiales; Euphorbiaceae. The record is from RNAcentral.
AUGGAACUGAGGUAGCUGUGAAGAGGUUUCUAGACCAGGACAUUUCUGGCGAAUCUCUUGAAGAAUUCAAAAGUGAGGUUCGAAUUAUGAAAAGGCUUCGGCAUCCGAAUGUUGUUCUCUUCAUGGGAGCUGUGACACGUGCUCCCCACCUUUCAAUUGUUACAGAAUUUCUUCCCAGAGGUAGCUUGUACAGGUUAAUUCACCGUCCCAACAAUCAAUUAGAUGAACGAAAGCGAUUGAGGAUGGCCCUUGAUGCAGCUCGGGGAAUGAAUUAUUUGCACAAUUG